RNAcentral lists this transfer RNA (74 nucleotides) under Acropyga donisthorpei. Its description in RNAcentral is "tRNA-Leu". Lineage: Eukaryota; Metazoa; Arthropoda; Insecta; Hymenoptera; Formicidae. The record is from RNAcentral.
AUUACUUUGGCAGAGGAAAGUGCAUUAAAUUUAGAAUUUAUAUAUUAUAUAUGAUAUUAGAUAUAUAAGUAAUA